AUGAGUUUCCUUUCUUGGAAUUGUCGUGGGGCUGGCAAACCCGCGACAGUUUGAGAGCUUGAUCUCACGAGGUAGUAUGCCCCAUCUUUACUUUGCAUCUUAGAAACCCAAAUAGAGGGAUCUAGAGUUGAGAACAUGGCUAAUAAUUUAGGGUUUAGCCAGAGCUUUGUUGUAAACAGUUCUGGUAGAAGUGGAGGUCUUUGAAUUUUUCUGGAAUGA
RNAcentral lists this ribosomal RNA (219 nucleotides) under Triticum aestivum (bread wheat). RNAcentral describes it as "partial small subunit ribosomal RNA". The record is from RNAcentral. Lineage: Eukaryota; Viridiplantae; Streptophyta; Magnoliopsida; Poales; Poaceae.